UGCUUUUCAUUUAUGUCCAUGCAGAUCUGUGGUCAGAGCCCAGUGGAACUUGGACUUCCCCUAAAACUGUGUGCGAAGUUGCUGUGGAGUCUGCCCUACCCCUAAGUUUAUAUAAGGUAUGYAGCUGGGUAUGAGGAAGGUGGGACUGCCCUCCCCAUAUAGGAGCACUCCUGUGAUCUGACUGAGCAAUCAUUUGUUGACUCAAGUUUGUGUGGUCUUCUGUUCUAGUUCAUGAAGAAGGGAAUUGUCAUGGAUCAAACGAGCCAAAAUUAUGGAUCCUCUGAACAGACUCAGCUUAAAAAAGGAAGACAAUGUCUCUGUGGAGAAUGCCAGCAUAUUAUAGUGUCCAUGGCAUUCUGGCUGAAGCUUAGAGCAAAAGUCAAGAAAGUCCAUCAGCACAUGUGGAGUUUCUGUUGCUGUGUUUAUUAGAGAGAGGGGGAGAGAGAAAAACAGAAGGAGA
Molecule: long non-coding RNA, 460 nt
Filed under: Dromaius novaehollandiae (emu)
Lineage: Eukaryota; Metazoa; Chordata; Aves; Casuariiformes; Dromaiidae
Description: lncRNA (ENSDNVG00000005539.1)
Source: RNAcentral